This 459-nucleotide ribosomal RNA is filed under the name uncultured bacterium. RNAcentral describes it as "partial 16S ribosomal RNA". It matches the Rfam family "Bacterial small subunit ribosomal RNA", at positions 338 to 795 of the family's 1533-position model. The record is from RNAcentral.
CCUACGGGUGGCAGCAGUGAGGAAUAUUGGUCAAUGGCCGAGAGGCUGAACCAGCCAAGUCGCGUGAGGGAAGACGGCCCUACGGGUUGUAAACCUCUUUUGUCGGGGAGCAAAGUGAACCACGUGUGGUUCAUUGAGAGUACCCGAAGAAAAAGCAUCGGCUAACUCCGUGCCAGCAGCCGCGGUAAGACGGAGGAUGCGAGCGUUAUCCGGAUUUGUUGGGUUUAAAGGGUGAGCAGGUGGAGGUGAAAGUCAGCGGUCAAAUUGCGGGGCUCAACCAAGGACUGCCGUUGAAACUGCAUCCCUUGAGUGCGCGAGAGGUAUGCGGAAUGCGUGGUGUAGCGGUGAAAUGCAUAGAUAUCACGCAGAACUCCGAUUGCGAAGGCAGCAUACCGGCGCGCAACUGACGCUCAGGCACGAAAGCGUGGGUAUCGAACAGGAUUAGAUACCCUGGUAGUC